GUGUCAGCAGCCGCGGUAAUACGUAGGGUGCGAGCGUUGUUCGGAGUUAUUGGGCGUAAAGGGCGUGUAGGCGGCUUGAGAAGUCUGGUUUGAAAUGCACUGGCUCAACUGGUGCGCUGGGUCAGAAACUGGCAGGCUUGAGUUCAUGGGGAGGAGCUGGAAUUCCAGGUGUAGGGGUGAAAUCUGUAGAGAUCUGGAAGAACACCGGUAGCGAAGGCGGGCUCCUAUGGAUGGACUGACGCUGAGGCGCGAAAGCGUGGGGAGCAAACAGGAUUAGAUACCCUGGUAGUCCACGCUGUAAACUAUGUGCACUAGGUAUGGGGUACGAGAGGUACUCCGUGCCGGAGCGAACGCGUUAAGUGCACCGCCUGGGGAGUAUGCUCGCAAGGGUGAAACUCAAAUGAAUUGACGGGG
This 414-nucleotide ribosomal RNA is filed under the name uncultured prokaryote. RNAcentral describes it as "bacterial SSU rRNA". It matches the Rfam family "Bacterial small subunit ribosomal RNA", at positions 505 to 918 of the family's 1533-position model. The record is from RNAcentral.